CAGGGUCAGAUGUGUAUAAGAGACAGGUGAGUCAUCGAAUCUUUGAACGCACAUUGCGCCCCUUGGUAUUCCGAGGGGCAUGCCUGUUCGAGCGUCAUUAUAACCACUCAAGCCUGGCUUGGUAUUGGGGUUCGCGUGCUCGCGGCCCUUAAAAUCAGUGGCGGUGCCGUCUGGCUCUAAGCGUAGUAAUUCUCUCGCUAUAGAGUCCCGGCGGUUGCUUGCCAGAACCCCCCACAUUUAAGGUUGACCUCGGAUCAGGUAGGGAUACCCGCUGAACUUAAGCAUAUCAAUAAGCGGAGG
This 300-nucleotide unclassified non-coding RNA is filed under the name uncultured Helotiales. Its description in RNAcentral is "sequence contains 5.8S rRNA gene, ITS2". The stretch from base 1 to 97 matches the Rfam family "5.8S ribosomal RNA", at positions 56 to 154 of the family's 154-position model. Lineage: Eukaryota; Fungi; Ascomycota; Leotiomycetes; Helotiales. The record is from RNAcentral.